This 253-nucleotide ribosomal RNA is filed under the name uncultured bacterium. RNAcentral describes it as "partial 16S ribosomal RNA". It matches the Rfam family "Bacterial small subunit ribosomal RNA", at positions 524 to 776 of the family's 1533-position model. The record is from RNAcentral. RNAcentral also lists the same sequence under 1 other name.
UACAGAGGUGGCAAGCGUUGUUCGGAAUUACUGGGCGUAAAGGGCGCGUAGGCGGCCUUCUAAGUCAGACGUGAAAUCCCCCGGCUUAACCUGGGAACUGCGUCUGAUACUGGAGGGCUUGAGUGCGGGAGAGGGAUGUGGAAUUCCAGGUGUAGCGGUGAAAUGCGUAGAUAUCUGGAGGAACACCGGUGGCGAAGGCGGCAUCCUGGACCGACACUGACGCUGAGGCGCGAAAGCUAGGGUAGCAAACGGG